This 91-nucleotide transfer RNA is filed under the name Fidelibacterota bacterium. RNAcentral describes it as "Candidatus Marinimicrobia bacterium tRNA-Sec". It matches the Rfam family "Selenocysteine transfer RNA". Lineage: Bacteria; Pseudomonadati; Fidelibacterota. The record is from RNAcentral.
GGAAGCGUAUGCGUCCCGGUGGGCGCCGCAGUCUUCAAAACUGUUGACCCGCAGUAGAGCGGGGGGUCGGUUCGACUCCGACACGUUUCCG